GUUAAGUCGACCGCCUGGGGAGUACGGCCGCAAGGUUAAAACUCAAAUGAAUUGACGGGGGCCCGCACAAGCGGUGGAGCAUGUGGUUUAAUUCGAUGCAACGCGAAGAACCUUACCUGGUCUUGACAUCCACAGAACUUUCCAGAGAUGGAUUGGUGCCUUCGGGAACUGUGAGACAGGUGCUGCAUGGCUGUCGUCAGCUCGUGUUGUGAAAUGUUGGGUUAAGUCCCGCAACGAGCGCAACCCUUAUCCUUUGUUGCCAGCGGUCCGGCCGGGAACUCAAAGGAGACUGCCAGUGAUAAACUGGAGGAAGGUGGGGAUGACGUCAAGUCAUCAUGGCCCUUACGACCAGGGCUACACACGUGCUACAAUGGCGCAUACAAAGAGAAGCGACCUCGCGAGAGCAAGCGGACCUCAUAAAGUGCGUCGUAGUCCGGAUUGGAGUCUGCAACUCGACUCCAUGAAGUCGGAAUCGCUAGUAAUCGUGGAUCAGAAUGCCACGGUGAAUACGUUCCCGGGCCUUGUACACACCGCCCGUCACACCAUGGGAGUGGGUUGCAAAAGAAGUAGGUAGCUUAACCUUCGGGAGGGCGCUUACCACUUUGUGAUUCAUGACUGGGGUGAAGUCGUAACAAGGUAACCGUAGGGGAACCUGCGGUUGGAUCACCUCCUUACCUUAAAGAAGC
RNAcentral lists this ribosomal RNA (686 nucleotides) under Escherichia coli. RNAcentral describes it as "bacterial SSU rRNA". It matches the Rfam family "Bacterial small subunit ribosomal RNA", at positions 859 to 1533 of the family's 1533-position model. Lineage: Bacteria; Pseudomonadati; Pseudomonadota; Gammaproteobacteria; Enterobacterales; Enterobacteriaceae. The record is from RNAcentral.